Molecule: RNA transcript, 2675 nt
Organism: Sarcophilus harrisii (Tasmanian devil)
Lineage: Eukaryota; Metazoa; Chordata; Mammalia; Dasyuromorphia; Dasyuridae
Gene: DGKA
Gene name: diacylglycerol kinase alpha
Exons: 24
Source: RefSeq, a predicted model, not a curated record
UCUCGGGAGCCAGAGCCCGCCCCGCCCGGCUCCCCAAACCCAGCUCGGGCAAUAUCUCUGCUCCUUGCUCCAGCGCUGGCGCCGCAGCACCCUCCCGCGCCGCUCCGCUCUCCUUAAGUAUCCCCCAACCCAACUUCUACUCCAGACUCCUCCAGAGGAAGGUCAUCCUCCUAUUCUGCCAAUUUAGGAAGCAGUCGAAAAGAUGUUGAAAAAUGGGGGCCCCUUAAGCCCCAAGGACUUUGCUCAAUUACAGGAAUAUAUGGAAUAUUCAACCAAGAAAGUCAGUGAUGUCCUAGCUCUGUUCAAUGAAGAUGGAGAAUUGGCUCAGUAUCUCCAGGGAGAUUCCAUAGGAUACGAAGGGUUUCAGCUCUUCCUGAAAGCCUACCUGGAGGUGAAUAAUGUUCCUCCACAACUGAGCCAAGCACUUUUUGGGUCCUUCCAGACUAUAGAGUCUCAAAAACAAGGUGAUGAACAAGAAGUAGCCUUGAUCUGUCUCAAUGAUGUCUCCUGCUAUUUCUCCUUACUGGAGGGUGGACGGCCUGAAGACAAGCUAGAAUUUACCUUCAAGCUAUAUGAUACAGACAGAAAUGGACUUUUGGACAGCUCGGAAGUGGACAGAAUUAUCACCCAGAUGAUGCGUGUGGCAAGAUAUCUGGACUGGGAUGUAACUGAGCUGAGACCAAUUUUGCAGGAGAUGAUGAAAGAGAUUGACUAUGAUGGCAGUGGUACAGUCUCUCUGGCUGAGUGGGUACGAGGUGGAUCUACCACUGUGCCUCUGCUGGUGCUGUUGGGACUAGAGGUGAGCUUGAAGGAUGAUGGGCAGCACAUGUGGCGGCUGAAGCAAUUUUCCCGUCCAGCUUAUUGUAAUGUAUGUGAGACAAUGCUGCUCGGGAUAACCAAGCGGGGACUCUCUUGUACCUUUUGUAAAUUCACAGUACAUGAGCGCUGUGCCAAGAAGGCUUCACCCUGUGAAGUCAGCACCUAUGCCAAGUCCAAGAAAGACACUGGUGCUCAGACCCAUGUGUGGGUUCGUGGAGGCUGUGACUCUGGACGCUGUGACUGUUGCCAAAAGAAGAUACGGAAUUUCCAAAGCCUGACAGGACUGCAUUGUGUGUGGUGCCAUUUCCAGAUCCAUGAGGACUGUCUCUCUACCAUGAGCCCUGAAUGUGACUGUGGGAUGCUCCGUGACCACAUCCUGCCUCCCUCAGCCAUCUAUCCUUGUAUCCUGGACCGCCAGAACUUGAGCGCCAGGAAUGUGGAUGAAUUACAACAUUUGGUCCCUGAUGGGCAGGCCCUGCGGAUUAUUCCGGUCCCCAACACCCACCCACUCCUCGUCUUUGUAAACCCCAAAAGUGGUGGGAAGCAAGGGGAAAGGGUCCUUCGAAAGUUCCAGUACCUGCUGAAUCCACGACAGGUUUACAACCUUGCAAAGGGGGGUCCUGAACCAGGGCUCAAGUUCUUCAAGGACCUCCCAGAUUUCCGGGUAUUGGUAUGUGGAGGAGACGGCACAGUAGGCUGGAUCCUAGAUGCCAUUGACAAGGCCAGCUUCCCUAACCCACCACCAGUGGCUGUGCUUCCUCUAGGCACAGGGAAUGACCUAGCUCGAUGCCUAAGAUGGGGAGGAGGUUAUGAUGGGGAGAACUUAUCGAAGAUACUCAAGGACUUAGAGUUAAGUGAAACAGUAUAUAUGGAUCGAUGGUCUGUGGAAGUGAUUCCUCUGGACCCCCAAGAAAAGAGUGAUCCAGUCCCCUACAACAUCAUCAACAAUUACUUCUCCAUUGGUGUGGAUGCCUCUAUUGCUCACCGAUUUCACAUCAUGAGGGAGAAACAUCCUGAGAAGUUCAACAGCAGGGCCUAUGUAACCUGGCCUAUGUAACCUGCCCCCUCCCCCCUGGGCCUGGGGUAUGGGGCUGAGGCAGGAUGAAGAACAAGCUGUGGUACUUGGAGUUCGCCACAUCCGAGUCCAUCUUCUCCACAUGCAAAAAGCUGGAAGAGUCUGUUUCAGUGGAGAUCUGUGGGACACCUUUGACACUGAGUGACCUAUCCUUGGAGGGCAUUGCAGUCCUAAAUAUUCCCAGCAUGCAUGGAGGCUCCAAUCUCUGGGGAGACAAAAAGCGACCCUCCAAAGAUGUCCAGGGUUUAGAUUUGGCCUCUGUGCCUCCUGAAGCAAUCACCAACCCUGAAGCCCUGAAAACCUGUGUACAAGAUCUGAGUGACAAGCGACUAGAAGUGGUAGGACUAGAAGGAGCAAUUGAAAUGGGCCAGAUAUAUACCAGGCUGAAGAAUGCCGGACACCGGAUUGCUAAAUGCUCCCAAAUUACUUUUCGGACUAAAAAAGCCCUCCCCAUGCAGAUCGACGGGGAACCCUGGAUGCAGGCACCAUGUACUAUCCAGAUCACGCACAAGAAUCAAAUGCCUAUGCUUAUGGGCCCCCCACCACGCUCCUCCAACUUCUUCAACCUUUGGUCCUGAGGGAAGGGCUCUUCAGCCCCUCUUCUUCAUUUCCCUAGGCUUUCCUCUACAUCUAUGCUACCCACCCCCUGCUCCUCCCUUGGUGAGCUUGGGUGGGCUCCUUCCCUUCACAAAUAUUUAUUGUCCCACUCUGCUUCCCUUCCUGCUCAACAUACACAUUGAAAGUGCCUCAUCUGAAUAAAAUCAUUUGGUUUUUCACUAAA